GCGGCUAUAGUCUAGCCUGGUAGGACACAGCCUUGCCAAGGCUGUAGCGCGGGUCCAAAUCCCGCUAGCCGCA
This 73-nucleotide transfer RNA is filed under the name Thermoplasmata archaeon. RNAcentral's name for it is "tRNA-Gly". It matches the Rfam family "tRNA". From Rfam's summary of the family: Transfer RNA (tRNA) molecules are approximately 80 nucleotides in length. Their secondary structure includes four short double-helical elements and three loops (D, anti-codon, and T loops). Lineage: Archaea; Methanobacteriati; Thermoplasmatota; Thermoplasmata. RNAcentral also lists the same sequence under 2 other names. The record is from RNAcentral.